ACUGGUAUAGUGUAAUUUGUGCAAGAUAGUAGCUACUAUAUGCCGUUUAGUUUAUACCUAAUCAUAGAGAGCUGCAAUCUUUGCUGAAUUUUUGUUUUCACCUUAAAAUCAGCAUCCAAAUCAGACGCAAGCAGCCAGGUGAGGAGAGUUAACGGUGUAAUUACCUGCUCUAAUUGAGUAAUCAAGUACAGAGUAACAACGAGAACCAGUAGAACCUGCAGCUCCGCGGGACCAGGGCUGCAGACGCCUUGGGUACAGCUGGUACAAAAGAGCCGCAGGGUGUGCUGGGGUCCUCACUCCUGGUCCUGGAGAGCCACAAGGUGUGCUGGGGUCCUCGCACCUGGUCCUGGAGAGCCGCAGGGUGUGCUGGGGUCCUCACUCCUCGUCCUGGAGAGCCGCAAGGGGUGCUGGUUUUUGACUUAAUAUCAGCAGCCAAUUCAGACCCAAGAAACCAGGUGAGACCACACUGAGGGCAAAAAGCCCCUAAAACCAGCAGGAGCUGAAGAGGGCUGAGCCUGGCAGUGGAUCGCUAGGGAAGAUGCCCAUCAUGCCUCUGUUGAUGUCAAAGACUUCAGAAGGGUCAAAGACAUCAGAAAGGUCAAAGACUUCAGAAGAUUUUCAAGCCAAGUAGGCUGCUAAAUAUCACUUUAUUCAGUUGAUGUUUUUUUUUUUUUGUCCAAUGAAUUUUUCUCCCCUUAAAUGGGGGGGAUGAGGGUGUAAUUCCUGAACAGAUAACCCGAUAUGGUUUAUAAACACUCGUAUCAAAGCUCCGUCUGCACGUUAACUUCGGAUUUGAAAUGAAAUGACGAAUACAUUCUGCUGGAGU
Conger conger (European conger) is the source of this 826-nucleotide long non-coding RNA. RefSeq lists it as uncharacterized. The transcript has 3 exons. The record is from RefSeq and is a predicted model, not a curated record. Lineage: Eukaryota; Metazoa; Chordata; Actinopteri; Anguilliformes; Congridae.